CUGGCUCAGGAUGAACGCUGGCGGCGUGCCUAACACAUGCAAGUCGAACGGGACUAUCAAGUGAUGUUUCGGACUGAACUUUUAGUUAGUGGCGGACGGGUGAGUAACGCGUGGACAACCUGCCUCUCACUGGGGGAUAGCAGCUGGAAACGGCUGGUAAUACCGCAUGCGUUCAAUGUGCCGCAUGACACAUUGAAGAAAGAUUUAUCGGUGAGAGAUGGGUCCGCGUCUGAUUAGCCAGUUGGCGGGGUAACGGCCCACCAAAGCGACGAUCAGUAGCCGGCCUGAGAGGGCGGACGGCCACACUGGGACUGAGACACGGCCCAGACUCCUACGGGAGGCAGCAGUGGGGAAUAUUGCACAAUGGGGGGAACCCUGAUGCAGCGACGCCGCGUGAAGGAAGAAGUAUUUCGGUAUGUAAACUUCUAUCAGCAGGGAAGAAAAUGACGGUACCUGACUAAGAAGCCCCGGCUAACUACGUGCCAGCAGCCGC
This 493-nucleotide ribosomal RNA is filed under the name uncultured bacterium. Its description in RNAcentral is "bacterial SSU rRNA". It matches the Rfam family "Bacterial small subunit ribosomal RNA", at positions 19 to 518 of the family's 1533-position model. The record is from RNAcentral.